Molecule: small RNA, 484 nt
Filed under: Arabidopsis thaliana (thale cress)
Lineage: Eukaryota; Viridiplantae; Streptophyta; Magnoliopsida; Brassicales; Brassicaceae
Description: ATSL222130
Source: RNAcentral
UUUAAGAUUGUAUAACUAUCAUCUAUUUUCUUGUAAUCUAAUGUUGAUCCUGAAAGAAAAAUCCAUAAGAAUACGCAUAAAUGGAUAGUAAUAUUAGGAGAUAAAUAUCAUUAGAACAUGAAGUAAUUUACUUAUGAAUCUCUAUCUAUUGUUCGAAAUAAUCGAUAUUCUAUAUUGAUUGUGAGGCAAUGUGAAUGUAUGCAUAACAUUUAUAAUUAUAAGAGAUAGAUUGUAUGCAAAAUUAGAUUUUAAUUUGGAUUCAAUCUUAGCUUUACUGAAAAAACUAAGAUUAUACACUUGUAGUUUGAUUGUUAAUUUAAGACUUUCACCUGUAGUAUACCAUCUUGUAUUAAUAUCGAUCUAAACCCGUCAAUUUUACGAUUUUCCAGCUUGUUAAAAAUUGAAUCACAUCAUACACAUAAAAAAUCUAAUAUCUUAUUAAUUAUUGUAGUAUAUAAGAUUAUAAUUUUUUAAUAUAAUAUGU